This 930-nucleotide non-coding RNA is filed under the name Caenorhabditis japonica. Its description in RNAcentral is "Eukaryotic small subunit ribosomal RNA". It matches the Rfam family "Eukaryotic small subunit ribosomal RNA", at positions 870 to 1831 of the family's 1831-position model. Lineage: Eukaryota; Metazoa; Nematoda; Chromadorea; Rhabditida; Rhabditidae. The record is from Rfam by way of RNAcentral.
UAAGAGGGACAAACCGGGGGCAUUCGUAUCAUUACGCGAGAGGUGAAAUUCGUGGACCGUAGUGAGACGCCCAAUAGCGAAAGCAUUUGCCAAGAAUGUCUUCAUUAAUCAAGAACGAAAGUCAGAGGUUCGAAGGCGAUUAGAUACCGCCCUAGUUCUGACCGUAAACGAUGCCAUCUCGCGAUUCGGAGGGUUCAUGCCCUACCGAGGAGCUACCCGGAAACGAAAGUCUUUCGGUUCCGGGGGUAGUAUGGUUGCAAAGCUGAAACUUAAAGAAAUUGACGGAAGGGCACCACAAGGCGUGGAGCUUGCGGCUUAAUUUGACUCAACACGGGAAAACUCACCCGGUCCGGACACUAUUAGGACUGACAGAUUGAAAGCUCUUUCUCGAUUUGGUGGUUGGUGGUGCAUGGCCGUUCUUAGUUGGUGGAGUGAUUUGUCUGGUUUAUUCCGAUAACGAGCGAGACUCUAGCCUGCUAAAUAGUCGACGAAUCUUCGGGUUCGUAUAACUUCUUAGAGGGAUAAGCGGUGUUUAGCCGCACGAGAUUGAGCGAUAACAGGUCUGUGAUGCCCUUAGAUGUCCGGGGCUGCACGCGUGCUACACUGGUGGAGUCAGCGGGUUUUUCCUAUGCCGAAAGGUAUCGGUAAACCGUUGAACUUCUUCCAUGUCCGGGAUAGGGUAUUGUAAUUAUUACCCUUAAACGAGGAAUGCCUAGUAAGUGUGAGUCAUCAGCUCACGUUGAUUACGUCCCUGCCCUUAGUACACACCGCCCGUCGCUAUCCGGGACUGAACUGAUUCGAGAAGAGUGGGGACUGUGGCUGCGAGGUUUUACCACUUCGCAGUUGCGGAAACCAUUUUUAUCGCAUUGGUUUGAACCGGGUAAAAGUCGUAACAAGGUAGCUGUAGGUGAACCUGCAGCUGGAUCAUCG